AGUGAACGCUGGCGGCAGGCCUAACACAUGCAAGUCGAGCGGCAGCGCGGGGGCAACCCUGGCGGCGAGCGGCGGACGGGUGAGGAAUUCGUCGGAAUCUGCCUUUUUGUGGGGGAUAACGUAGGGAAACUUACGCUAAUACCGCAUACGUCCUACGGGAGAACGUGUGGGACCGCAAGGCCUCACGCAGAAAGAUGAGCCGACGACCGAUUAGCUAGUUGGUGGGGUAAAGGCCCACCAAGGCGACGAUCGGUAGCUGGUCUGAGAGGAUGAUCAGCCACACUGGGACUGAGACACGGCCCAGACUCCUACGGGAGGCAGCAGUGGGGAAUAUUGGACAAUGGGCGCAAGCCUGAUCCAGCCAUGCCGCGUGUGUGAAGAAGGCCUUCGGGUUGUAAAGCACUUUUGUCCGGAAAGAAAUCCCUGGAGCUAAUACCUUCGGGGGAUGACGGUACCGGAAGAAUAAGCACCGGCUAACUUCGUG
RNAcentral lists this ribosomal RNA (484 nucleotides) under uncultured bacterium. RNAcentral describes it as "partial 16S ribosomal RNA". It matches the Rfam family "Bacterial small subunit ribosomal RNA", at positions 29 to 507 of the family's 1533-position model. The record is from RNAcentral.